RNAcentral lists this non-coding RNA (45 nucleotides) under Trichobilharzia regenti. Lineage: Eukaryota; Metazoa; Platyhelminthes; Trematoda; Strigeidida; Schistosomatidae. The record is from RNAcentral.
AUCCGGCUGACGAGUCCCGAAUAGGACGAAAUGUGCAUACUGUAU